This 1018-nucleotide long non-coding RNA is filed under the name Nicotiana tabacum (common tobacco). Its description in RNAcentral is "long non-coding RNA (NTAB_LNC008628)". The record is from RNAcentral. Lineage: Eukaryota; Viridiplantae; Streptophyta; Magnoliopsida; Solanales; Solanaceae.
GUACGGAUCACAAGGGUUUAUUGUACCCUGCAUUUCUGCAAAAGUUUAUUUUCACGGCUCGAAUCCGUAAUCUCUUGCCAUGUAAUUUUACCAGGUACGCCAAGGCUCCGCAAUUAUGAAUACACGAUAUAUCUUAAUUUCUAUAUGCAGCGCCGCGAGACUUGAAGCUUUUGGAUGGCAUGAUUUCUGUAGGUACAGAAAAGAGUUCGACUGGAAUUCGCCUUUGAGGAUUUCGUAACGACGCAUAUUAAGCACUCCAUAUUUUAGUCAUCUUUUGCAUCCAAUUUAAAAAAAGGAUGGUUGAGCAGAAAUAAUGGAGUACCCUUUUUGCCAUUCCUCUUUCUGUUUUGCUGUUAACUAAACGCUUCUACACCCCUGAGAUUCAUACAUGAUCAGCCACAUUUGACGAUGAUUUUGACACAUGAAUUUAACUUAAUUGCUGGUAGGAAUUAUGUAUCCUUUGCCUACCACAUUCCUUUGAAUAUAUAUGUUGUUAAAGAAUAUAUGUAUAUUCCUUACUCUAGCGCCAUCUGCUAUCUCGUUAGGGUUAAUAUAUGAAUACAUAUACACAUGCGGUUAGUACUAUACAGUAUAAAAGAUUUGAAACACCAAAAGUGAACAACAAAAUACUAUAGCCUAAUUUUUCGUUCAGACAAAUACUAGAAAAAAUAGACAACUGUAAUUAUCAAAUGAGAGGUUCACCAGCUUGAUCAUCAACCAUGCAAAAUCAUUACCAACGAUUUCACUUUCACAUAUAUAAGCAAGCCAAAAACUAAAAGCAAAAAAAUAUAAGGAAGCUGAAGCCUUCCCUAGUUUCAACAACUGCAUCCACUCAUGCUCAAACACAAAUUGCAUAACUAUAUAAUAACUAAUCGCAAUCUCAAAUAAGUUUAGGUUCAAUACACUGACAGUGUAAAAGAAUUUUUACACUAUCCGUUAAUUAUUGGUAGAGGAAGAAGAAGAGGAAGAAUCAGAUGCAACUUCAGUUUCCACUACUUGUCUUCUAUGAAAGUUGCGG